AAGAAGAAAUGAACAUGUUGUAGGAUGAAGGAAGAAAAUAUGUCAAAGAUCCCUUACAGCAAAGAGUAAUAAUCAGAUACGAAGGAAAUAGUAAGAGAUGAAUCCAUAUCCAGUCCCCAGGAUUUAACAGCAGCAAUAAGGCCUCUCUGUCCACUGCAGCAAAUUGAUCCUACAUGACACUGACAAGGGCAGCCUGCACUUAAUGACCUCCAUCGCUGAAGGAUGGCAAUGAGAAAUGGCUGGAAGUACAAAUAAAUCUUGGAAAGUUUCCCUGAAACAGGUCUUUCCAUUUCCUUUUCCCACACCUCCCUCUGUCUUGCCUUUGAAGGAACCAGUCUUGGGGGCCUCCGUGCAGCUCCCCAGUGGUCCUUUAUGGGUGGUUUCCCACUCUCUUCCUUUCUGCUAGCCCUGAUUUCAAACAGGGAGAAGACACAUUUGUGCUUAGAAUUUGGUUCCUAAGAGGCUCAGAAUGCUGGCAUUCAUGGAACACAUUUGAAGCAGGAGGAAAGAAUGGAAGACAGAGCAGAGAAUUUAACAUUCGGAAACACCCAAAGCCAUUAUUUGCUGAUGUCACAUCGCAUGAUUUCACAGGCCUGAUGUAUUCUCUGGCAAGAUCAAGUUCACAGAAGUAAACUGAGGCCUGCAGAACUCUGGACAGAGGUUGAAUGCAGCAGAGUAAAGAUGCUAAAGAAGCCAGCGGAGUCUGUCUAUCUGGAACAUUACU
This is a long non-coding RNA of Fukomys damarensis (Damara mole-rat), 724 nucleotides long. RefSeq lists it as uncharacterized. The transcript has 4 exons. The record is from RefSeq and is a predicted model, not a curated record. NCBI's taxonomy places the organism in Eukaryota, Metazoa, Chordata, Mammalia, Rodentia, Bathyergidae.